GUGAAGGAGGGAUUUACAGGGAGGACUUGGUCAUGCUGAAUCUUCCUCUGCCCAGCCCGGCGCCGUCGUGCGCCGGUGAGCCUCACCGCCCCUUCCACCGGCACCACCUCACUCCGACGAGUCCCCCCACACUGGUCUCCCUUUCUCACGCUCUCUCUUCCUCUCUCUCGGCUGUGCACUGCCGUAAUGGGCUUGAUGUUGCUGCGCCGCCGUGCGCUAUCCUCCGGCGCCACCACCUCUACGGUAGCCUCCUCUCCCACCGGCCAUCCCCCUCCAGCGAGCUCGGCCUCCAUCUCCCUGCCGUUUGCCCCCAC
Long non-coding RNA from Juglans microcarpa x Juglans regia, 314 nucleotides. RefSeq lists it as uncharacterized. The transcript is spliced from 2 exons. The record is from RefSeq and is a predicted model, not a curated record. Lineage: Eukaryota; Viridiplantae; Streptophyta; Magnoliopsida; Fagales; Juglandaceae.